GAAUUUCUCUACAGGAAAAAUUAGAUGAUCUUGAAAAUCUGAGUAGGAGAAAAUCUCAGAUUUGUGGGCUUCCCCUAAUUAAGGCGACAUUUGCUCCACUCUUUAACGCUGGCUACAGGACACUCUGCAGCUUGGUGCCUUAGCUUCCGCUCCCAUCAUUAUCGAAGAAGCACAUAGAAUAGGCCCAGACAGACCCAGUGACACCACUAGAU
This is a non-coding RNA of Pelobates cultripes (western spadefoot toad), 212 nucleotides long. NCBI's taxonomy places the organism in Eukaryota, Metazoa, Chordata, Amphibia, Anura, Pelobatidae. The record is from the annotation of a GenBank genome assembly.